AACGAACGCUGGCGGCAUGCCUAACACAUGCAAGUCGAACGAGACCUUCGGGUCUAGUGGCGCACGGGUGCGUAACGCGUGGGAACCUGCCCUUAGGUUCGGAAUAACUCCCCGAAAGGGGUGCUAAUACCGGAUAAUGUCUUCGGACCAAAGAUUUAUCGCCUUUGGAUGGGCCCGCGUUGGAUUAGCUAGUUGGUAGGGUAAAAGCCUACCAAGGCGACGAUCCAUAGCUGGUCUGAGAGGAUGAUCAGCCACACUGGGACUGAGACACGGCCCAGCCUCCUACGGGGGGGAGCAGGGGGGAAUAUUGGAAAAGGGGGGAAAGCCUGAUCCAGCAAUGCCGGGUGAGUUAUGAAGGCCUUAGGGUUGUAAAGCUCUUUUACCCGGGAUGAUAAGGACAGUACCGGGAAAAUAAGCCCCGGCUAACCCCGU
This 432-nucleotide ribosomal RNA is filed under the name uncultured bacterium. RNAcentral's name for it is "partial 16S ribosomal RNA". It matches the Rfam family "Bacterial small subunit ribosomal RNA", at positions 29 to 506 of the family's 1533-position model. The record is from RNAcentral.